Long non-coding RNA from Agrilus planipennis (emerald ash borer), 405 nucleotides. RefSeq lists it as uncharacterized. NCBI's taxonomy places the organism in Eukaryota, Metazoa, Arthropoda, Insecta, Coleoptera, Buprestidae. The transcript has 3 exons. The record is from RefSeq and is a predicted model, not a curated record.
ACAUUCUAAUACUUAGUGAUACAUAAUGACAUUUAGUGAAUGAAUUUUAAAGGAAUUUUUAAAUUUAAUAUUUAACUAUUCCUAAGCCAAAGGUUGUUCAUGAAGAAAGUAUAUCCUAUUUUUAACAAAUGUUAUGCUGGGUCUUGAUAUGGUCUUGAUCAGAUAGGGCUGGCACAGUAUCCGCUAUUUGCAAUAAGUGUACUAGCAGAGGUAUAGACAAAAAUAUGGUGGUCAAUAGAAAAUGUUUCGUUUGCGUUUUAUUAAUGAUAAAUCUUACAAGAAUUCUGUCGACGUCUGAAGAGGAUGAGGAUGUAAAAUACGCAAAUAGAUGUGAAGUGUGUAAAGUAGUUGCAACAGAACUCGAGCAACGGCUUCAAGAAACUGGUAAAACUCAUGAAGUAAUUG